RNAcentral lists this ribosomal RNA (253 nucleotides) under uncultured bacterium. RNAcentral's name for it is "partial 16S ribosomal RNA". It matches the Rfam family "Bacterial small subunit ribosomal RNA", at positions 524 to 776 of the family's 1533-position model. The record is from RNAcentral.
GACAGAGGGUGCAAACGUUGUUCGGAAUUACUGGGCAUAAAGCGCGCGUAGGUGGUUCGCUAAGUCGCGUGUGAAAUCCCCCGGCUCAACCGGGGAAUUGCGGGCGAUACUGGCGAGCUGGAGAUCGGGAGGGGUGAGUGGAACUCCAGGUGGAGCGGUGAAAUGCGUAGAUAUCUGGAGGAACACCGGUGGCGAAAGCGACUCACUGGCCCGAAACUGACACUGAGGCGCGAAAGCUAGGGUAGCAAACGGG